UACAGAGGGUGCGAGCGUUAAUCGGAUUUACUGGGCGUAAAGCGUGUGUAGGCGGUUAUUCAAGUCGGUUGUGAAAUCCCCGGGCUCAACCUGGGAAUUGCUUCCGAGACUGAAUGACUAGAGUACGGUAGAGGGCGGUGGAAUUUCCGGUGUAGCGGUGAAAUGCGUAGAUAUCGGAAGGAACACCAAUGGCGAAGGCAGCCGCCUGGGCCUGUACUGACGCUGAGACACGAAAGCGUGGGGAUCAAACAGGAUUAGAUACCCUGGUAGUCCACGCCGUAAACGAUGAGAACUUGACGUUGGUUUGCUUUGCGAAUCGGUGUCGUAGCUAACGCGAUAAGUUCUCCGCCUGGGGAGUACGGCCGCAAGGUUGAA
This 375-nucleotide ribosomal RNA is filed under the name uncultured bacterium. Its description in RNAcentral is "bacterial SSU rRNA". It matches the Rfam family "Bacterial small subunit ribosomal RNA", at positions 524 to 898 of the family's 1533-position model. The record is from RNAcentral.